Molecule: ribosomal RNA, 537 nt
Filed under: uncultured bacterium
Lineage: Bacteria
Description: bacterial SSU rRNA
Rfam family: Bacterial small subunit ribosomal RNA
Source: RNAcentral
GUUUGAUCAUGGCUCAGAUUGAACGCUGGCGGCAUGCCUUACACAUGCAAGUCGAACGGCAGCACGGGAGCAAUCCUGGUGGCGAGUGGCGAACGGGUGAGUAAUAUAUCGGAACGUGCCCAGUAGUGGGGGAUAGCCCGGCGAAAGCCGGAUUAAUACCGCAUACGACCUACGGGUGAAAGCGGGGGAUCGCAAGACCUCGCGCUAUUGGAGCGGCCGAUAUCAGAUUAGCUUGUUGGUGGGGUAAAAGCCUACCAAGGCGACGAUCUGUAGCUGGUCUGAGAGGACGACCAGCCACACUGGGACUGAGACACGGCCCAGACUCCUACGGGAGGCAGCAGUGGGGAAUUUUGGACAAUGGGCGCAAGCCUGAUCCAGCCAUGCCGCGUGUGGGAAGAAGGCCUUCGGGUUGUAAACCACUUUUGUCAGGGAAGAAACGGCUCUUACUAAUAUUAGGAGCUAAUGACGGUACCUGAAGAAUAAGCACCGGCUAACUACGUUCCAGCAGCCGCGGUAAUACUUAGGGUGCAAGCGUUA